Ixodes scapularis (black-legged tick) is the source of this 83-nucleotide non-coding RNA. NCBI's taxonomy places the organism in Eukaryota, Metazoa, Arthropoda, Arachnida, Ixodida, Ixodidae. The record is from Rfam.
GCACUCGUGGCCGAGCGGUUAAGGCGAUGGGACUAGAAAUCCAUUGGGGUCUCCCCGCACAGGUUUGAAUCCUGUCGACUGCG